AGCAGACUUGUGAAACACUGUCACUUCUAAUAUAAAAAUGCAGCUCAUGUCCCUAAAAUGCAUGCGAUCCAGUUUAAAACCUUUUCCGUGGGAAAUCUAGACAGCCGAGCCUCUCUAUGAACUGGCAUUGGAUACCUCCCCCUGCAUUACUCAGCGCUGCUGAACAGGAUCUAGGCUAAGCCAGAAGUAGGAAGACACACCUCCUGCCGGGUGCACUGAGCUGUGACAUCACCGAGGGGGAGGGGCUGCGCUGCUGCUGCAGAGUGGGGGUGGUUUCCUGUGAGACAGCAGCCAGGGGAGUUCAAAAGGCCCUGCUGGAUUUCACCGGGCAGAAAAUCAGCUGCAGAGACCUUCAGCCGACACUGUUUAGGAUCCGUGCUCUUGAAGACUUGGCUUUAUUUCACGGCUCCCGAAUGUUCUUAUGAUGCAAUUUCCGUGCUUUAUACUGUCAUUCAUAAGCAAAUAAAGCUCAUAGGUGUUUAUUCUCA
Molecule: long non-coding RNA, 488 nt
Organism: Megalobrama amblycephala (Wuchang bream)
Lineage: Eukaryota; Metazoa; Chordata; Actinopteri; Cypriniformes; Xenocyprididae
Exons: 2
Source: RefSeq, a predicted model, not a curated record